RNAcentral lists this ribosomal RNA (253 nucleotides) under uncultured bacterium. RNAcentral's name for it is "partial 16S ribosomal RNA". It matches the Rfam family "Bacterial small subunit ribosomal RNA", at positions 524 to 776 of the family's 1533-position model. The record is from RNAcentral.
UACAGAGGGGGCAAGCGUUGUUCGGAAUUACUGGGCGUAAAGGGCGCGUAGGCGGCCUGUUAAGUCGAACGUGAAAUCCCCGGGCUCAACCCGGGAACUGCGCCCGAUACUGGCAGGCUUGAAUUCGGGAGAGGGAUGUGGAAUUCCAGGUGUAGCGGUGAAAUGCGUAGAUAUCUGGAGGAACACUGGUGGCGAAGGCGGCAUCCUGGACCGAUAUUGACGCUGAGGCACGAAAGCGUGGGUAGCAAACAGG